UACAGGGGGGGCAAGCGUUGUUCGGAAUUACUGGGCGUAAAGGGUUUGUAGGUGGCUUGCUUAGUCAGACGUGAAAUCCCUCGGCUCAACCGGGGAACUGCGUCCGAUACUGGCGGGCUUGAAUUCGGGAGAGGGAUGUGGAAUUCCCAGUGUAGCGGUGAAAUGCGUAGAUAUUGGGAGGAACACCAGUGGCGAAGGCGGCUCGCUGGACCGGUUCUGACGCUGAGGCGCGAAAGCGUGGGGAGCAAACAGG
This 253-nucleotide ribosomal RNA is filed under the name uncultured bacterium. RNAcentral's name for it is "partial 16S ribosomal RNA". It matches the Rfam family "Bacterial small subunit ribosomal RNA", at positions 524 to 776 of the family's 1533-position model. The record is from RNAcentral.